RNA transcript from Ceratitis capitata (Mediterranean fruit fly), 4251 nucleotides. It is a transcript of the gene named matrix metalloproteinase-14, with no coding region annotated. Lineage: Eukaryota; Metazoa; Arthropoda; Insecta; Diptera; Tephritidae. The record is from RefSeq and is a predicted model, not a curated record. The transcript is spliced from 8 exons.
AAAGUUAACUAUUGCUAUUAGCGCUCUCAACAGAUAUGUCGAGUUCCAUAACAAAACAAAAUCCCAAUGCAUUGGAGGGCCAACAAGUAAAGAGCAAACAAUAAUCACAAUAACAAAGCGAAUUCUUGUAUAUGUAGUAGACUCUCAAUAGCGGGAGUACACGCUCGCCGAAACAGCUGGAGCUAAUGCCGACACGACCAUUGACAAAGGCAUCAACAAAAACUAGAAAGCUCCAUAAUCAUAUUCUCCCACCGAAGCAGCUUUCCGGCGGCAAGCUAACGAUCAGUGGGUGACUUGUACUGCCGCAUUGUGUACGUCGUGGUGUCAGUUUAUUUUCGCUUGCUGCGCUGGGCGGUUGUGUUUCUUAGCCGCGGUGAAUCCGUUUUCAUUUCUAUUUGCAAAACAUUUUUUUAAAUUUAAACGACAAAGUUUUAUAUAUAAUGAAGAAGUGUAUACAAAGCGCUGGGUAAUUUAGAGCGGUUUAAUGAGACAUUUCAAUCUGUUCGAUUAAAGCCGGUGCGAUUACAAAUUAAGAGACAUAUAAAUAUACUUCAUACCAAUCGUCGAAUCGCAGCAGUUUAUCAAAGCAAAGUGAAUUUAGUAUAUCCCAGUUUAUUCAGUUGCAUCGAAGAAAAAAGCUGCCACUUCAAAUCCAGUUAAUAGCGAUUGCAAUUGUAUUGUUCAAAUCGUUGAAAAGUAAAAUAUUCCAUCAGCGGCCGUUUGUUGUAGUCCGUAGCGUUCCAUUGUGGAUUCAUAAAAAAUAAAUAAAAUAAUAUAUCAAUUUUUAAUUAACAUCACACUGGUCAUAGUGGUAGCCAAAUUGUUCUUAAAUAAAAAAUGUUACAUCGCUUUUCGGGGAGAGAAAGGAUUGGUCAGUGUACAACGAUAGCAAACGAGACGGGCUUUCGGAUCGAUUCCGAGCGAAACCGAACGAUUAAAGAAUACAUUCAGCAACAAUCAGACGUCGUAUCUACUAUCAAAAUGCGCUCCUGCCAACAGUGUUCAGUAUUUAUAGCUUUAGCCGUAUUUCUAGCCCUAGUCACAACUGUUUCCUCCAAUCCUGUACAAACAACGACGCAAGCCGAGAUUUAUCUGUCGCAAUUUGGAUAUCUGCCUGCUUCAGCUCGAAAUCCUGCCAACGGCGGACUACUGGAUGCGAGCACGUGGACUAAAGCUGUGCAAGAUUUCCAAAGCUUUGCUGGCUUAAAUAUAACCGGGGAUUUGGAUGGUGAGACUUUGGAGUUGAUGUCACUGCCACGAUGUGGUGUGCGAGAUAAGGUGGGAUUUGGCACCGAUAGCCGCUCAAAACGAUAUGCCUUACAAGGUAGCCGCUGGCGGGUCAAGGCGUUGACCUACAAAAUAUCUAAAUAUCCGAAACGGCUGAAGCGCAAUGACGUUGAUGCAGAAAUAGCCCGUGCCUUCAGUGUCUGGAGUGAUUUCACAGACUUGUCAUUCACUCCCAAAUCGUCUGGUCCAGUUCAUAUUGAAAUUAAAUUUGUUGAGAGCGAGCAUGGAGAUGGAGAUGCUUUCGAUGGUGUGGGCGGUACAUUGGCUCAUGCAUUCUUUCCAGUAUUUGGUGGAGAUGCACAUUUUGAUGACGCAGAGCUGUGGACAAUCGGGUCGCCGCGUGGAACGAAUCUUUUUCAAGUAGCCGCUCAUGAAUUCGGCCACUCUUUAGGCUUAUCCCACUCAGAUGUGCGCUCUGCGUUGAUGGCACCUUUCUAUCGGGGAUUUGAUCCAGUAUUUAAACUUGAUUCAGAUGACGUUCUAGCCAUUCAAGCUUUGUAUGGUAAGAAAACAAAUGGUGUAGCAGACCGUGGAGGCUUCCCAAAAACCACACAAAGACCAGUAUUUUCCCCACCUAAAGUGCCUAGAGAUGACAUUAUUUGCAAAGAUCCAAGAGUUGAUACAUUAUUUAAUUCAGCUGAUGGACAAACAUAUGCCUUCAAGGGUAAUAAGUACUACAGGCUCACCGAAAAUUCCAUUGCGGAUGGAUAUCCCAAACUUAUAUCCGAGGGCUGGCCAGGGUUACCAGGAGAUAUCGAUGCAGCAUUCACGUACAAAAAUGGAAAGACUUAUUUCUUCAAAGGCACCAAGUAUUGGCGCUACAACGGUCGACAAAUGGAUGGUGACUAUCCAAAAGAAAUCAGCGAAGGAUUUACUGGAAUACCAGAUCAUUUGGAUGCCGCUAUGGUUUGGGGUGGUAAUGGAAAAAUUUACUUCUAUAAGGGUAGCAAAUUUUGGCGAUUCGACCCAUUAAAGCGCCCACCAGUGAAAUCAAGUUAUCCGAAACCUAUCUCCAAUUGGGAAGGACUGCCAAAUAAUAUUGAUGCGGCGUUACAGUACACCAACGGUUAUACAUACUUCUUCAAGGGCGACAAAUACUACAGAUUCAACGACAGAACUUUUUCGGUCGAUGCUGCUAACCCACCAUUCCCAAGACCAUCAGCUCACUGGUGGUUCGGUUGCAAAAAUGUGCCCUCAUCAACAGAUGAGAAACCUGGGAACGGCAAUAUUCCCGGUUGGAUGUGGAGCAUAGCGAAUUCCUUCUUUUAAUUAGAAUAAUAAACUUCCACAACGACAUGCAUAUGAAAAUAUGAAGUCGUAUUAAUUUGGACAAAAUGAAAAUAUAAAUAAAUAAAAGAAAUAGUAUCAUAGCCAUAAUAUUUUUAUGUGAAACCAAGAUGAGCGUUGAAUGUGUACGCAUAAAAGGGUAUACAUAUACAUACACGUAUGCAUAUCCAUAUAAAUAGAAGGGAGCAGGAAAUUUGUGUGUGCUGUGCCGCUGAAAUUUAGAAAUGCCCAUCAACAAAAUCAUACGAAAAUAAUUGAACAUGUCGGAAAUAGGGAGACUGUCGUGACCAUCGCUUUCAUCAUCAAGCUUCUUCAUUCAUCAUAAAAUUAAACAUAUUGCUUUUUGUGUUCGUCAAACAAUGUCCAGCUCAUGGAGGUUGUGCGCCCUGCAGUUGUAAAAACAGUUGAAGCUGUUCCAAUAAAAUCACUAUUCCGGAAGAAGAAACUGGCGCUUACUUCUGUGGUCGCACCGUCUCCAUGCCGUAACCUCGGCUUACUUGUGGCUCAUAUCGUAAGCCAAACUUGCUUGCCAAAUAUCAUCGCUCAUACGAUAGAAUGGUUGAAAAUGAAAUGAUGAUCACCAAGCACAUGACGAGUCUCCGGAAGCGGAUGCCUCAAGACAAAGCAAUUCUGCUAAGAAAUUGCACGAAGCACACAGUUGGAGUUUGCUUAUGACAACGGCCGUAAUGCUGCUGAUUUAUAAGAUUACAACCAGCUAAAACAUUCAAAAAAGUGCAAUGCAAAUGCGCGUACAUACACUCCUAAUUAUGUGCAGAGAAAGGCAUGCGAGUGAACUGGAAUGGAGCUGCAAGUAGUUUUAUGAUAUCCAAAUAAAAAAUACAAAUAUGAAAAUAAGAAGACAAUGGACGAACCCAGGAUCGCGUUCUCUCUUAGCUGCUCAGAACACUUGUACAUUAGAAUUAGCUUUAAGGGAGCGCAUGCAAAACUGUAAGCACUUACAUACAUACAAUACAUGCAUAUAUUUAGUUAAUAAUUAUAUCAUACGUGUAAGUUCAUUAUUUAGUUUAAGCGACAAAAGUGCGAACGAAUUGUGACAUUUUAAUAAUUUUAUUGUAAAUUAUGCACAUACAUAUGUAUAUAAAAUUACCUAGCCAUUAGCAGUUAGCUGCAAACGACCUCAAAGUAUACAUAUAAGUAUAUCUGAACAUCGCAAUAAGUUGUCAUUAAUUUUUUUAACGAAUUAAAUGGCUAAAGUUGGCUGCAUGUGCAGUAUCCUUAAAACAAAGUUUAUAUGUAAAAAAAAAAAAUGUAGUUUAUCACCUAAGAUAUUAUAUUUCAACAUUCCAAUGAAAAUCUUGUCCAAAAUUCUCCAAUUGAGGUAGUCGAAUAAACCUACACGUAUGCACCGUUUAAUUGGUUUAACCAAAUUGUAUACAUACUGCAUUUGUCGGUGGCUUAGAAACUUGUUCUUUUAAUAUAAAAUAAAUAUGUUUUUAAGAUUUGACUUGUAAUAUCGAUUUUAAGAAUAUAUUUUUAGCAAUAUUUACAUACAUAUCUUAAGUGUAAUGUAAUAUGAAUAUCAUCAGUAAACGUAUUGAAUGUGAAAAUACGGAAUUAAUAUUUAACUCCGGAUAUUAUAGUCAUUUGAGAAUUGUACGUGUGUUUAUUUGUACAUAUGUAAAUAGCUUAAAUGCAACCAUCUUGAUAUACAAACAA